Ochotona princeps (American pika) is the source of this 797-nucleotide RNA transcript. It is a transcript of the gene named sperm-tail PG-rich repeat containing 4, with no coding region annotated. The transcript is spliced from 7 exons. The record is from RefSeq and is a predicted model, not a curated record. Lineage: Eukaryota; Metazoa; Chordata; Mammalia; Lagomorpha; Ochotonidae.
ACGCCAUCACAGAGGCCUCCUAGCAACGGCACACCAGCCUGGGCUGGGAGAGGAGGCUGCCAUGGACCAGCAGGGCGUCACCAUCACCACCGCAGGAAAACCAACCCGGAAGACGUCAUCUUUUGAAAGAGAAGGAUGGUGGCGAGUAGCAUUAACAAAUACUCCUAUACCUGGCACGUACCACCUGAAAACUUUCCUUGAAGAAGCUUUGUUAAAUCCAGUGACAGCAACAUACAAUUUUAAAAAUGAAGGAAGGAAAAAGCUACCUCUUGUGCAAAGAAACAAUCCAGUCCUGAAUGAUCUUCCACAGUACAUGCCUCCUGAUUUCCUGGACCUGUUAAAGAAGCAAGUAGCCACUUACUCAUUCAAAGACAGGCCUCGGCCCAGCCCCAGCAUGCUAGUUGAUAAAGAUAAGGCUCUUCGGCUUUGCCCCGGGCAGUACGAGGUGCUUCCUGCACCAGUUCCCAAGUACCCUUCCAGGAGCUUCAUAUUUCGUUCUGCGGUUCAAAGAUUUCCAACGGGCUGCUUCAUACCUGCUCGGCCAGGCCCAGGAGGAUUAGGGUCUGUGGUGAUCCACUUCGCAGACUCCUUGCAGUUGGUGUUUCUCACAGUUGUGUGCAAAGCAAAAAUGAGACACACACACCUUUCCUAACCACGAGAACAAACCUUCAAAAGUCAAAUAAUAGGCUGAUGCAAUGGUGCAACGGCAUGAAGGACCAGGACCAGGCCAUUAUGACUUGAAAACACCACCAGCAACUUGCAUUACCUCUUGUUUUCAAUCCAGAGUCCCUCGGUUC